UACGUAGGGGGCAAGCGUUGUCCGGAUUUAUUGGGCGUAAAGAGCUCGUAGGUGGUUCGGUAAGUCGGAUGUGAAAUCUCCAGGCUCAACCUGGAGGGGUCAUUCGAUACUGCCGUGACUAGAGUUCGGUAGGGGAGUGUGGAAUUCCCGGUGUAGUGGUGGAAUGCGUAGAUAUCAGGAGGAACACCGAUGGCGAAGGCAGGUCUCUGGGCUGACACUGACGCUCAUGCACGAAAGCGUGGGGAGCAAACAGG
Molecule: ribosomal RNA, 254 nt
Filed under: uncultured bacterium
Lineage: Bacteria
Description: partial 16S ribosomal RNA
Rfam family: Bacterial small subunit ribosomal RNA
Source: RNAcentral